This is a long non-coding RNA of Lates calcarifer (barramundi perch), 2661 nucleotides long. RefSeq lists it as uncharacterized. Lineage: Eukaryota; Metazoa; Chordata; Actinopteri; Centropomidae. The transcript has 3 exons. The record is from RefSeq and is a predicted model, not a curated record.
UGUUGGUCUUCAUGGCGGGGUCGAAAUUUAAAAUCCCGGGGGCUUAACAGCGCAACUGCUCUUGUCUUAAAUGUUUGGAAAAGUUAAGAGACACCGGGACGAUCGCGUUCAACGACAGGAGGAGCUCGGCGACUCCGUGAGAAAGAACAACGCCCUCCUGUAAGCUGUGGGGAAAAGACACUGGGAGAACUUCGUCCUUUAAAACCCACCGAGAAAAGUAGAUCUACGAACCAGUAAGACUCAUUUUUCUAUUUAUUCUGUGUUUUUGGAUGGCCGCCGCGCCGCUCUCUCACAAACACGCACACAUGCACACACACUGACUUUUACAUCCUCCCCUCUUUUUCUCUUUGCUGUGUAUUGAAGGUGCAUUGUCAUGACUGCUGUGUCAUGGCUAUUUAUUUGUCAGCUUGAAAUGGUUUUUUGUGAUUUUGCUUGGCUGCUGCACCACGACUGUUUUUUUUAACAACACCCGUUUGACCGACAUAGCCAUAGUCUGCGCAUCCAAUUUGAACAUGGCCACCAAAUUAUUUCGUCCGUCCGUCCAACAUGGCCACCUAUUCGUUUGUCUCUGUCUAUUUCUCUUUGUUUUUCUUCUGUGUUGAGUAACAGAAAUCAGAUCUCUUAAUUGUGUCGGGAGGGAUGGCCUUCCAACACAAUUGGAGCAUUUAGAAGCCUUGUUGUUUGGAUCGUGAACUUAUUUAAAGGACUGUUGAGUGGUGAGAAGUUUGGAGAUAAAUGAUGUCGCUUUUGUUUUUUGGACCUUAAAUACAUAGUAAAAAAGAGACUGGCUCUGUUUUUGCUAAGCUAGUGAUAGUUGGACCAGGAAGAUUGAGAUGGAGGAAGAUUGUCAGAGCUGGGCUGAGACUGAAGGGACUCUUUCAGGGCUCUGUGGUGGGUCAGACAGGUUUUAUGUUAGAUAGUAGAUAGUUUAUUGGUUCAUAGUUGCACUGAUGAUGAUAGGAGUGGAGAGUUUUUAGUGUGGUAUUUUGUGUUAAAAGUAAGAGGAUGUAUUGAAGGUCAUGGCAAUCAGACUAUUGAUUUCUGUCUGUCUAAUAAGCUUGGAUCAAUGUUUGUGCACUAACCCCUUUACUUUGUAGGUAAAGCUACAAUCGGUGAGUCCCAUUUUUAUAUUCUUUAAUUCUAAGUUGUGUUUUUGGAUGGUCACCAUGCCUUCCUGUUUGUCUCUCUACAGUAGGGCUGAACAAUUAAUCAAAAUAUUAGGCUUGUUUGUUUGGUAAGAAUUGCAGUAUCCUUCAACCCUACUCUAGAUUUAUGUUAAAAUGACUUUUAGACUAUAAUAAAAAUCCAUUAGGGUUAUCUGUUUCUUCUUGUCAAUGCAUCAUCACACAAACACACGUCCUUUGUUAUCAUAGCUGGUUAUAUUCACUGUUCAGAAUUAAAGUACAUUCUAGAUCCUUGGCCAAAUGUAUUAAUUGGCCUUAAAUACACAAUGAGUUUUAUUAACUUAGAACUGGUUUCAACAUCAAACAAUCCAAAGCUUGUGUCAAAUCACUGGAACAAAAAAUCGGUCCGUGCGCACGUGUGUCCGAUAUUACCGCCUACUUGUUCAUCCAACGUGUCUGCACAUCCAUCGUCCAACAUUUAUUUUCCCGGUGGACCUUCAAACAGAAUUUCUUUGUGGAUCUUCAACAGGUACUAGUAGAUCUUCAAAAGUAAGUGCUGUUUUUUUUCCUUCAUGUGCUGGGGUUUUACUUGGCUGCUGUGGCAAAACUAACUAAUGAAUUUCAAUUUCAGCCUUCAUCUGGACUUCAUCCUACAAAAGAAAAGGAUUGCGUCUUUGUUUGUUUUGUUUGUUUGUUAUUUUUUUUGUUAUUUUGGGGCCGCUGUGCCAUCUUUAAUCUCUAUCCCUCACCCUUUUAACUCAGCCACCGUGCUGAUCUAACGAUCUAUCCCUUUCCUCGUUUAUCCGUCCAACAUGGCCGACCACUUGUUAAAACUUAGAUGUUUAGAUGAUAUCUGUUCUUAUCAUCUAAACAUUUAUAUUUUUAUAUCUAUAAAGUGCCAUUUCUCUUCAUUGUAUUGGCAGGAUUUUAAUUACUAAUUAAUGAAUAUAGAUGACUGCAGGAAUGGGUCUCCCACCCAUGAUGUAUUUUUUUAUUUUUUAUUUUUUUUGUGUGUGUGUGUGAGACAGGGAAUGAAUUUUAUGUAGUCUCUAGAGUCUCUAUUCAGCCUGUUGUCUGUCCAUCUUGUGUUUGUCCAUCUUUUGUCCAUGUUUUUGAUGGCCGCUGUGCUAUCGCUUGUGGCAGCACCUGUCUGCCUUUGUCUUUGUGUCUAUCAAUUUAUGUGUGCGCGUCCGUCGAGCAUGUGCUGUGGUUUUCCUUGGCCGCCGUGUGAAGCAAAAUCACAGUGCCAUGACUGCCUAUUUCCUUUUUUUGCCAUUUAUCCAUCCAAGAGGACAUCCAUCCAUGACAAUUGGCCAUCCGUCCGUCUACCCGUCUUAGUCUGUAUAAUCGGUGUCUCUUUUUGCUGGUGAAUCUACAAACAAGUAAGUCCUGUGUUUGCUUAAUUAUGGCCGCCAUGCCAGCCUUUUUUUUCCCCUGUCUCUCACACUAACACGUGCACACACACUGAUCCUUACACUCCCUAUCCACUGUCUUUUUUUCCCAAUUGUGUCUUGGCCGCUGUGCCUCUCAAAAACAC